Molecule: ribosomal RNA, 520 nt
Filed under: uncultured bacterium
Lineage: Bacteria
Description: bacterial SSU rRNA
Rfam family: Bacterial small subunit ribosomal RNA
Source: RNAcentral
AGAGUUGAUCCUGGCUCAGAACGAACGCUGGCGGCGCGUCUUAAGCAUGCAAGUCGAACGGCAAGAGGUAGCAAUACCUCCUAGAGUGGCGGACUGGUGGGUAACACGUGGGUGACAUACCCUUCAGAUGGGGAUAGCUAUUAGAAAUAGUAGAUAAUACCGAAUACGAGCACAGGGGUUAGAGAUCUGUGAGGAAAGGAGCUAAGGCUCCGCUGAAGGAAUGGCCUGCGGCCCAUUAGCUAGUUGGUGAGGUAAGAGCCCACCAAGGCGAUGAUGGGUAUCCGGCCUUAGAGGGUGAACGGACACAUUGGGACUGAGAUACGGCCCAGACUCCUACGGGAGGCAGCAGCUAAGAAUAUUCCGCAAUGGACGAAAGUCUGACGGAGCGACGCCGCGUGGAUGAAGAAGGCCGGAAGGUUGUAAAAUCCUUUUGAAACUGAAGAAUAAGCGUUGUAGGGAAUGACAGCGUGGUGACAGUAGGUUUUGAAUAAGCAACGGCUAAUUACGUGCCAGCAGCCGC